Molecule: ribosomal RNA, 325 nt
Filed under: uncultured eukaryote
Lineage: Eukaryota
Description: partial 18S ribosomal RNA
Rfam family: Eukaryotic small subunit ribosomal RNA
Source: RNAcentral
CCCUUAGAUGUCCUGGGCCGCACGCGCGCUACACUGAUGCAUUCAACGAGUAUUUCCUUGGCCGAGAGGCCUGGGCAAUCUUUUAAACCUGCAUCGUGAUAGGGAUAAAUUAUUGCAAUUAUUAAUCUUGAACGAGGAAUUCCUAGUAAACGCAAAUCAUCAAUUUGCAUUGAUUACGUCCCUGCCCUUUGUACACACCGCCCGUCGCACCUACCGAUUGAAUGGUCCGGUGAAAUCUCGGGAUUGUGGCCAGUUCACUUUAUUGGGAGUUGGCUGCGAGAACUUGCUUAAACCUUAUCAUUUAGAGGAAGGUGAAGUCGUAACA